GACGAACGCUGGCGGCGUGCUUAACACAUGCAAGUCGAACGGAAAGGCCCUGCUUUUGUGGGGUUCUCGAGUGGCGAACGGGUGAGUAACACGUGAGUAACCUGCCCUUGACUUUGGGAUAACUUCAGGAAACUGGGGCUAAUACCGGAUAGGAGCUCCUGCUGCAUGGUGGGGGUUGGAAAGUUUCGGCGGUUGGGGAUGGACUCGCGGCUUAUCAGCUUGUUGGUGGGGUAGUGGCUUACCAAGGCUUUGACGGGUAGCCGGCCUGAGAGGGUGACCGGCCACAUUGGGACUGAGAUACGGCCCAGACUCCUACGGGAGGCAGCAGUGGGGAAUAUUGCACAAUGGGCGGAAGCCUGAUGCAGCAACGCCGCGUGCAGGAUGACGGCCUUCGGGUUGUAAACCGCUUUCGCCUGUGACGAAGCGUGAGUGACGGUAAUGGGUAAAGAAGCACCGGCUAACUACGUG
Molecule: ribosomal RNA, 468 nt
Filed under: uncultured bacterium
Lineage: Bacteria
Description: partial 16S ribosomal RNA
Rfam family: Bacterial small subunit ribosomal RNA
Source: RNAcentral